CUCAGGAUGAACGCUAGCUACAGGCUUAACACAUGCAAGUCGAGGGGCAUCAGGAAUCUAGCUUGCUAGGUUGCUGGCGACCGGCGCACGGGUGAAUAACGCGUAUCCAACCUUCCCCUAGUAGGGCAUAGCCCGGCGAAAGUCGGAUUAAUACCCUAUGUUCUUUACGGCAGACAUCUAAUGUAAAGCAAAGAUUUAUCGCUAAGGGAUGGGGAUGCGUCCGAUUAGGUAGUCGGCGGGGUAACGGCCCACCGAGCCUUCGAUCGGUAGGGGUUCUGAGAGGAAGGUCCCCCACAUUGGAACUGAGACACGGUCCAAACUCCUACGGGAGGCAGCAGUGAGGAAUAUUGGUCAAUGGACGUAGGUCUGAGCCAGCCAAAAGUAGCGUGCAGGAUGACGGCCCUAUGGGUUGUAAACUGCUUUUGCCGGGGAAUAAAGUGCGGUACGUGUGCCGUUUUGUAUGUACCCGGAGAAUAAGGACCGGCUAAUUCCGUGCCAGCCGCGGC
RNAcentral lists this ribosomal RNA (506 nucleotides) under uncultured bacterium. Its description in RNAcentral is "bacterial SSU rRNA". It matches the Rfam family "Bacterial small subunit ribosomal RNA", at positions 23 to 518 of the family's 1533-position model. The record is from RNAcentral.